Long non-coding RNA from Onychostoma macrolepis, 1182 nucleotides. RefSeq lists it as uncharacterized. Lineage: Eukaryota; Metazoa; Chordata; Actinopteri; Cypriniformes; Cyprinidae. The record is from RefSeq and is a predicted model, not a curated record. The transcript has 3 exons.
GUUGAUUUGUGUUUCUCCUGCCUGUGGAUUUAUUAAAGGGGUCAUAGGAUGCCACUGAACAGUGUCAAUAGCCACGUUUCCACUGUCAGGCCAAAAGUGGGUGUGCUAGAAGAAGAGGUGUUUAGUCUGGUGACAUCAACGCUGUAUCGAGAGCAUCAAGCCACAAGGACUGACUGAAAACAGAUCAUUGCUUUAAGUCAGGUAAAAAGAGAGAGAAUGGAUAUUUCUACCAUGUCAAAACAGCAUUCUUCCAGGAACAUCACAACAAAUAACACAAGCAAUACAGAGUCACCCUUCGAUUUUAACACCACCGGAGGGAUCCUCAACCUCAUUGUUGUGCUUCCUGAAAACUGUUAUGUGAUCUGGCUGAUCGUCACAGGAGCUGGAAAUGGAGUUGCAUCAGAGUUCUUCAGUCUCAAUCUGUGUGUUUGUGAGAUGUUUCUCUGUCUACAGUCUUUUUUAUCUCUGCUAAGCAGCACUUUUCCAGGUAUCUAUAUUUAUGUGCAGUUUCUGGCAGGUGUUUCCAUGACUGGUCGUCCUCUGUUUCAGUGUCUGAUCUGUGUUGAUUGCUACAUGGCAGUGAUUCAUCCAUUCACCUUUCUGAAGUUCAAAGCUCUCAGAUAUAAAGUGAUCUGCUCCACUGCUGGCUGGCUCAUGAUUGUUAUAGACUGUGUGUUUGUCAGUGGUAAUGUAAUUCCAAAUCAAUUUUAUUCAUUCAUGUGCAUUUCCUUGUGUCUGUCUCUACUCGCUUUGUCUGUGAAAUUAUUCUGCUGUUUGGCUGUUCUCAGAGCUCUGAAACAGUCAGGACCAGGUGCGAAAGGAAGAGAUAAAACAAAGGAAAAUAUCAUAAAGAGAAGAGCAUUUCAAAUCAUUGUACUGAUUUUAAUGGCAACGGUAGUCACAUAUGCUGCGUAUUUGGUGGCAGCACUCAUUUUAGUUCUGACACAUCAGUUUAUUUCAAUGCUCUGGACUGCUGGUCACGUGUGUUUUGUACUGGGUGGUUUGGUUCAGCCUCUCCUUUAUUUAUAUAGGACUGGAAAACUAUCCUUUUGUAAAUCCCCAUAGUCACUUUGGUUUUUGUCUAUACAUGUACAUCACUUUUUUAGAUUGUUAAAAGUGGUGUCAUGUUUUGCUCAAUGAGAGAAUAUACUAACAUGUUUAGCUGCUUCAUUUGCUUCUUGU